Molecule: ribosomal RNA, 383 nt
Filed under: uncultured bacterium
Lineage: Bacteria
Description: bacterial SSU rRNA
Rfam family: Bacterial small subunit ribosomal RNA
Source: RNAcentral
AACGAACGCUGGCGGCGCGCCUAACACAUGCAAGUCGAACGAGAAGGCGUAGCAAUACGCUUGUAGAGUGGCGAACGGGUGAGUAAUACGUGGGUGACCUACCCUCGAGUGGGGAAUAACCCGCCGAAAGGCGGGCUAAUGCCGCGUACGCUUCCGUCCUCACGGGGACGGAAGGAAAGCUGUACCGUGGGUACGGCGCUCAAGGAUGGGCUCACGUCCUAUCAGCUUGUUGGUAGGGUAACGGCCACCAAGGCUACGACGGGUAGCUGGUCUGAGAGGACGAUCAGCCACACUGGCACUGCGACACGGGCCAGACUCCUACGGGAGGCAGCAGUGAGGAAUAUUGCGCAAUGGGCGAAAGCCUGACGCAGCGACGCCGCCGU